RNAcentral lists this ribosomal RNA (394 nucleotides) under uncultured bacterium. RNAcentral describes it as "bacterial SSU rRNA". It matches the Rfam family "Bacterial small subunit ribosomal RNA", at positions 28 to 415 of the family's 1533-position model. The record is from RNAcentral.
GACGAACGCUGGCGGCGUGCUUAACACAUGCAAGUGGAGCGACGAACCGGGGCUUGCCCCGGGGCAGAGCCGCGAACGGGUGAGUAACACGUGGGUAACCCACCCCGAUGAUUGGGACAACCCGGGGAAACUCGGGCUAAUACCAAAUGUGCUCGAAGACCAUGAGGUCCUCGAGUAAAGAUAGCUUCGGCCUUCGCAUCGGGACGGGCCCGCGGCCCAUUAGCUUGUUGGUGAGGUAACGGCUCACCAAGGCAACGAUGGGUAGCUGGUCUGAGAGGACGAUCAGCCACACUGGGACUGAGACACGGCCCAGACUCCUACGGGAGGCAGCAGUGGGGAAUCUUGCGCAAUGCGCGAAAGCGUGACGCAGCAACGCCGCGUGGAGGAAGACGUC